CGAAUUGGUUUGAGCUAAGUACCGCGGCUUGUUAGAGUAAUGAUGCGCGUAGUAGAGCGCAAUGUCCAAGGGUAUUUAGGGGCGAUAGGCUAUUCAAAAACUAGGAUAACUUGAUACCAUAAAAAAGUAUCUAGUACUUAAAACAAAUAUAAAGUGUUUAGGCUUUGUAUGUAUAUAAUAGUUUAUUUGUGCCUAGAAAGGAUAUAACCAUCUCUUGUGAUCCCAAUAUACUAUUUUAAUUUAAGGGUAUGUAUACAUAUAUAUGGUUUAGUUGUGCAAUUUGGGCCAACUGUGAUAAUGUUUACAUAAGUACGCUUAUGAGACCUAGAUAACGAACUCGGCAAAACUUUUCUUCAACUGUUUAUCAAAAACAUAACUAUAUGUACUCAUAUAUAGCUAUUUCUGCUCAAUGUAAUUUAUAAAUGGCCGCAGUACCUUGACUGUGCUAAGGUAGCGUAAUCAAUUGGCUUAUAAUUGGAGUCUAGAAUGAAUGAAGCCAUGGGGAAAUACUGUUUCGUUUAGGUUUAGUGGAAAUUACUUAGUAGGUGAAAAAUCCUACGGUAAAAAAAUAGACGAGAAGACCCUUGAAAUUUUUAAGAAAAUAUGACGAAACCAUUUUUGUUGGGGCGACAUAGUAGCACGACAACCUACUGGAAAUACAUACGUAUUAAGUGCAAAGAUUAAAUAAAUUACUCUAGGGAUAACAGCAUAAUAUUUAAAAGUUUGUGACCUCGAUGUUGGACUAGGAAUAUAAAGUUUAGAAGACUACUAUAAACGGCUCUGUU
RNAcentral lists this ribosomal RNA (785 nucleotides) under Acusta assimilis. Its description in RNAcentral is "partial large subunit ribosomal RNA". The stretch from base 315 to 559 matches the Rfam family "Archaeal large subunit ribosomal RNA", at positions 1787 to 2143 of the family's 2987-position model. Lineage: Eukaryota; Metazoa; Mollusca; Gastropoda; Stylommatophora; Camaenidae. The record is from RNAcentral.